This 504-nucleotide ribosomal RNA is filed under the name uncultured bacterium. Its description in RNAcentral is "partial 16S ribosomal RNA". It matches the Rfam family "Bacterial small subunit ribosomal RNA", at positions 30 to 523 of the family's 1533-position model. The record is from RNAcentral.
AUUGAACGCUGGCGGCAGGCCUAACACAUGCAAGUCGAACGGUAGCACAGAGAGCUUGCUCUCGGAUGACGAGUGGCGGACGGGUGAGUAACGUCUGGGAAACUGCCCGAUGGAGGGGGAUAACUACUGGAAACGGUAGCUAAUACCGCAUAACGUCGCAAGACCAAAGUGGGGGACCUUCGGGCCUCACACCAUCGGAUGUGCCCAGAUGGGAUUAGCUAGUAGGUGGGGUAAUGGCUCACCUAGGCGACGAUCCCUAGCUGGUCUGAGAGGAUGACCAGCCACACUGGAACUGAGACACGGUCCAGACUCCUACGGGAGGCAGCAGUGGGGAAUAUUGCACAAUGGGCGCAAGCCUGAUGCGGCCAUGCCGCGUGUAUGAAGAAGGCCUUCGGGUUGUAAAGUACUUUCAGCGGGGAGGAAGGCGGUGAAGUUAAUAACUUCACCGAUUGACGUUACCCGCAGAAGAAGCACCGGCUAACUCCGUGCCAGCCGCCGCCGUAA